UCUGUCUAUCGUCGAUCUCAGAUCGGGACAAUCGCGUGCGAUUCUGCCUUCCCGCUCCCAUCAGCGCCAUUCAGCGGUCGUCCCUUCCCCCGAUCCAAUUCUAUCCCCCGUCUAUCUCGUUCCCCAUUUUAUUUCCUUUCAACUCUUCUCUUCCCGAUCCAGAGCAGCGACGCAGGGAGGCAGCUCGGGCUCCGCCGGACAACGACAUGCGCCGUCGUGAGCGCGACGGCGGAGGCUUAUGGGCUGCGGUGGCGGAUCGAGACGGGCGCAUCGUCGCGGAUCGAGAUGGUAGGCGGAGCUCCACGGGGAGGAUCUCGUCCCAGGCACGACGCAGGCCUGCGGGAGCAGCGGCUCAGCGUGGGAGCACGCGGCUCCCCACGGUGGGCGGGCGCGGUGGAGGCCUCGUGCGGCGGCGGACGCGGAUGGAGGCCUCGGCGGUGCUGGGAUCCCGGCGACCGAUGCGCGAAUCAAGGUGGGGCUAGUGUUCGGCGAGGUGUGCGUCGGCACACGCCGAAUCUCUGUUCGAGGGUCCUCGGCUCCCAUCAUUACGCCGCUCGCUCCAACCUCUUCUGCCUCCUCGAAUGUUGCCUGAUAAUGCGGGAUGUGAAUGGGGCCUGAUGUGCUGUUUUGAUUCAGAUUUUGCACAAUGAAAAGGUUAUUUUUUUAGGGAGCGCUGAUGGCAUAUUUGGUUGCAACUCUGGAGUCUGGAUGAUUUGCCUGGGAGCAGAUGCUGCCUGCAGGCUGCAUGUGAAUGUGAUUCUGCCUUGCCCGGCAAUGGGUGUGUUCGUUUCCUACCCUCUAAACUAUAGAUCUGUCACAUCAAAGAGAAUCUUGUUAUUUAAAAGUAUUAAAUAAAGUCUAAUUUCAAAA
Panicum hallii is the source of this 870-nucleotide long non-coding RNA. RefSeq lists it as uncharacterized. Lineage: Eukaryota; Viridiplantae; Streptophyta; Magnoliopsida; Poales; Poaceae. The transcript has 2 exons. The record is from RefSeq and is a predicted model, not a curated record.